UAAACUGAUGCCUGCUAGUUUAGGCAAAUAGCUGUUAACUAUUUUUUUGCGGGAUCGAGGCUCGCCAGUUUUAUA
RNAcentral lists this transfer RNA (75 nucleotides) under Phrynocephalus vlangalii vlangalii. Its description in RNAcentral is "tRNA-Asn". Lineage: Eukaryota; Metazoa; Chordata; Lepidosauria; Squamata; Agamidae. The record is from RNAcentral.